AUGAUUUUCUGGAGUUUAUUCUCAAUGCUUUGUAUUCAAGGAGUUUGGAGUGAGAUCAAACUGGAGCAGUCUCCCUCUGAGGUGAAAAGACCUGGAGAGACAGUGAAGAUGUCAUGUAUCAUAUCUGGUUUUACCCUGACAGACUACUAUAUUCACUGGAUAAGACAGAGGCCAGGGAAAGCUCUGGAGUGGAUUGGGAGGAUGAGCACAGGUUCAAACUCUGCUAUCUACGGCAGCUCCUUUCAAAGUCGAUUCAUCAUAACUGAAACUGCGUCCAGCAGCAAUCAGUACCUCGAGAUCAAGAGUCUGACAGAAGAAGAUUCUGCUGUUUACUUCUGUGCUCGUGAAAGCACAGUGACUGAAGAUAGUGAAGAAGCUGCACAAAAACCUCCAAACAAGUAA
This is a non-coding RNA of Scomber japonicus (chub mackerel), 402 nucleotides long. NCBI's taxonomy places the organism in Eukaryota, Metazoa, Chordata, Actinopteri, Scombriformes, Scombridae. The record is from the annotation of a RefSeq genome assembly.